UAUUUCUUUACUGCCCACAAGAGGCUAAACAUAGAGGGGACAAACAAGGACAGACAAAGGGAUUAAAUCGACCCCAGUGCAAAACUGGUACUUUAUUUACCGACCCCGAAAGGAUGAAAGGCAAAGUCGACCUCGGCGGAAUUUGAACUCAGAACGUAACAACAGACGAAAUACCGCUAGGCAUUUCGCCCAGCAUGCUAACGUUUCUGCCAACUCAGUAAGAAAAAGAUAAGUCAUAUCAAGAGAACAAAUUUUGCUCCAGCCAACGGAUCAAGGCAUGAUGGCUAACUUCAAGGCAUAUUAUCUGAGAAGAACUUUCAAGCAAAUUAUGAAAGAACUGAAAGGGAGGAUAACCUUGCAGAUAGAGACUUCUGGAAAAUGUUCAACAUAACUGGCCCUCCGUCAGUUACAGCAAUGAGUGUUCCAGUUGAUUUAAUCAAUGGAACAGCUUGCUCAGGAAAUUAACAUGCAAGUGGCUAAGCAAUACACAGGUGCAUGAACCCUUUAUGUAGUUCUAAGGGAGCUUCAGUGUAACCCAGAAUGUGACAAGGCAGGCCCUUUGUGGGAUUUGAACUCAGAGUGAAGAGGGUCAAGACAAAUACACUGAAGUAUUCUGUCUGACACUUCAACAACUGCGCCAGUUCGCUGCCUAUACCCAUUUCUUUAUUACCCACAAGGGGCUAAACAUAGAAGGGACAAACAAGGACAGACAUAGGUAUUAAGUCGAUUACAUCGGCCCAGUGCGUAACUGGUACUUAAUUUAUCGACCCCGAAAGGAUGAAAGGUAAAGUCGACCUCGGCGGAAUUUGAACUCACAACGUAACGGCAGACGAAAUACCGCUAAGCAUUUCGCUCGAUGUGCUAACAUUUCUGCCAGCUCGCUGCCUAUACCUUUGUAGUGACGCCAUCUUGGAAAUCUCCAGCACACGUAUGCAGGGUUGGAGUCUUCCGGGAGGCCUGCCGAAAGUUCCCUCAUGUGCAUGCACAGAAAACUAGCAGCAGCAAAAUUCUCUUGUAUCACUCUCUUGGACACCAGCAACUGAACAAGACAGACGUGUCUCCAUCGGCUCUCUCGAGCUGCUACCUCAUGGCACCUCUCUGCUAUGCUUGAAUGGGCAGGAUUGAUUCACUCCACUUGACUACUGCCGAUAAGCUCCUAGGCUGCCGAUUCGCCCAGAGGAAGGAAAUGUUUAUAUUGCAAAUCAAAGAAUAAAUAUUUAUACUGUUGAAGUUAAUCGGAAGUCUUGACUCUUUCUUCGAUUAAUAUUUAAUGUAAAGGAUGCGAGCUGCACCCAUCCAGUGCAGGGAUCUCUCAUCCUGUUACACCUUUUUACAAUACUGAUUUCAAAUUUUGGCACAAGGACAGCAGUUUCAGGAGAAGGGCUUAGUCGAUUACAUCAACCCCAGUGCUCAACUGGUACUUAUUUUAUUGACCCCAAAAAGAUAAAAAACAAA
Molecule: long non-coding RNA, 1455 nt
Filed under: Octopus vulgaris (common octopus)
Lineage: Eukaryota; Metazoa; Mollusca; Cephalopoda; Octopoda; Octopodidae
Source: RNAcentral